UCAGUUUGAGUAUAUCGUGUAUUCGAAUUUCCCGAGGCUAGUACGUACUAUUAUUAUAAACCCAUUUCCAAAUAUUCAGUUUUUUCACAUCAUGACACUUUCGAUAUUAAAAACUAGUAGUGGUUCUAAUCUCGUAUCCGAUCGAUGCCACCUCUAGUUACGACUGGUGUGAAAACUUAAAAUAGUAAAAAAUAUAUAAAAAAAACUAUACUAGCAUCAUUUGACGGAAACCAUGUGGUCCACAUAGGACUGUCUCACCUUUACUCUCCUCAAAAAGUAUCAAGUUCCGGAACGUUCUAACUUCUAAUGAGAAUAUGCAACCAUCCUCUUUGUAAUGUUUCGAGAAAGUUCGACAUUUACUACUAUGUGAUUAAAAGAAGUUGGGUUCUCUACCUCCCCUCUACAUAUAUAUAAUAUGUAAGUUACUUACGUGGCCAUUGUCUCCACCACAUCUCCUCCCUCAACUUCCAUAAACUAAACCACCACGGAAAGCAGAGUACUCUGUUUUCAAAAAAAUACACACUUCCCGCUCUUUUUUUUUUUUUUUUUUGUUCCUUUUCUGUUUGGUCUCUGUCUUCUCUGAUCAGGAACCCAAAUGGUUUAUGUCCUUGCUUCGAUUACAAUUUACAUGAAAUCUAAUCACAGGUUAUUUGAGAUCUAGCAAUACUCCGAGAUGGACCCGUCGUCAAGGUCGAGAGCGCGGUCAAUGCCGCAUGUGCCAGUUGAGGGAUUGCAGGAACCAGGGCCUUCACCGUUUCUAGCAAAGACAUACGAGAUGGUGGAUGAUCCAAACACAAACAACAUUGUCUCUUGGAGCAGGGAAGGCAUCAGUUUUGUUGUUUGGGAUCCAUAUUCCUUCUCCGCGUCUAUUCUCCCUCUAUACUUCAAGCACAACAACUUCUCCAGCUUUGUUAGACAACUCAACACUUACGUAAGUAUCUCUGUUCCUCCGCUAUAGGACAUUGCUACGUGUUCUUUUCGUUUCACUUUUGUGCUCCCUUGGUCUUAUAGUUUUGGAGGACCUCGAUGAUGCGUUCGGCCUCCGAUUACUUCAUAAUGGUAAUUAAUUUGUUUUCCGUUGUGAAAUUUGUUGUUUAAACCGACAACUUCGUAUAAGUUAUGUUCAACUUUAUUCAUAUAUCAACUUCCUUCUAUUAUUUUAUGUCCUGUUUGUUUGUUUGUUUGUUUCCGAGGUGGUGUGGUCUAACAACAAAAAAAGAAUUAUAAAAAUUUAAGAUUAGGAUUUUUUAAAGACGGUCAUGUAAUAUCAAAGACGUCGCAAGAGAAAAAUAAAACUUAAAUUUAAUAAUUGAUUAUUUACUUACCGGCAGGGUUUUAGAAAGAUCGAGACAGAGAGAUGGGAGUUUAUGAAUGAAGGUUUUUUAAUGGGUCAAAGAGACCUUUUGAAAAGCAUCAAGCGACGAACCUCCUCCUCUUUCCCUUCCUCACUCAUCCACUCUCACCCCGAGAGCCAUGACCCCAGCGUCGAGCUUCCGCAGCUCCGAGAAGAGAGGCAUGUCCUAGUGAUGGAGCUAUCGAGGCUCAGACAGGAGGAGCAGAGAGCGAGAGGCUACAUCCAAGCCAUGGAGCAGAGGAUUAACGGUGUAGAGAAGAAACAGAGGCACAUGAUGUCCUUCUUGAGGCGUGCGGUACAGAACCCUUCGCUUCUGCAGCAGGUACUUGAGCAGAUGAGAGGGCUAGAGGAGGCUGCAAUGAUCGAUCAGGCUAGCUUGGUCAAAACGGAAGCAGUGGAGCACGUAUCGGAGCUUGAGGCGCUGGCGCUAGAGAUGCAAGGAUAUGGACGGAAACGGAUCGAUGGCGUGGAGAGGGAGCUCGACGACGGGUUCUGGGAAGAGUUAUUGAUGAACAACGAGAACUGGAAUAAUGAAGAAGAGGCGAAUGUGAACCAAGUUAAUUAGGUUUUGAGAGUUCAUGUCCGCGUCUAGUAAUCAACAGAAGAAAGAGAGAGAGCAUAAGGAUACUAGUAUUAUGAUCGGUCAAUCAAAGCAGAUGAAGACGGAGAUCCAACAAAAUAAACCAUUUGUAUGAUGAGUAUAGCUCCUUCGUAGUUGCACGAGUAGGCGCUCUCCGGCAUCUUUUAACCAACACGGGAAGUUUGGUAGAUGUUCGCAUCCUCACUCACAUCCUUGGGCUUGCGCUUCUCCUUUUGCUCCAAUAUGAAUCCUAUCCUAUAUAAGUGUAAUAGACAGCAACAUGUUAUUUGAGACGGAGUAUGUAUAACCUGUGAAAACCAAUAAUAAGAUCAGAAGUUGAUAAUCUUCCCCAUGUUUUCGUUGACUCUCAUUAGGCUUCGUGUUACACCAAAUUAUAAGAGAUAUCAAUGAAAUACGAAUCAACCGAUGACGUGCGAGACACACCAUCCCCAAUGAUUUCGAUGUUUUUGGAUUAGGCGGUAUCGUAUUAAUCUCCAAUGGUAAAUUUGAUUAACAAGAUUCUAACUCUUUUUAAUCGGUCGGCCACGCGUCAAUUUAAUAUGGAAACACCGGCAGGCAGUAGUCCGAUAAAGGUUUGAACCAUGGCUACUUAAUGACUGUAUCAAUCUUCAGUCUAGGAGCUGCUGCGAUUGCUUCCUUCUCCCUGAAGAAGAAAGUCAAAACUCAAAAGUCAAAAGAUAUGCAGUAAAACGAGGCCACUCACUCAGCAAAUAUUUCCCCGUCUCAUUCUAUCAAAUAUCAUCCGCGAUUUACAAUCCCACGGUUCGUCUCCAUGCUAGUCUUCCCAUCUCCCACUUAUCCCAUUCCAAUUCGUCUCUUCUUUCGAUGGUCACCUAUACGAAGCUUAGACGUCAGCGACUUGCAUCGAAGCUUAUGCCUACGUUCUUGAGCUCAGUGGCAAUUUUGGAGCUCUCUCUAUCUCAGUGUCGGCAGCUGCAUUCCAUCAUUUCAAGACUCUCUCCGCUUUGAAUUUAUUUUUGGGCUGGGAAGCUUGUUUUGAUGUACCGUCAGCGUCGGUCUGUGGAUGACGCAGAGAAAGUGUUUGACGAAAUGCGUCAAAGAGAACGGCCUCUUGCGUGGAAUGCGAGUAUUGGAGCCUAUCUUGCCAAUGAUGAGCAUGCUUCGGCUCUUACUCUAUUACCUGGUCGAAGGCGUCCCUCUCUUGCUUAAAGCCUGCGGCCAUCUUAGAUAUUUCCGGACUGGGACUGAGCUUUAUUGUCUUCUCGUUAAACAGAUUUUAUUGUCCAUGGGUUGCUUUCCAUUUAUGCUAAAAAAGAAUGAUGACCAAACCGCAACAAGGCGUCUGUUUUGUUUGAUUGAUCCCAAGAUACUUUUCUGUGGUUUUCUACUAUGUCUGGCCAAUCUUUUGAGGCUUUAGAGUUGUUCAGAGAAAUGCAGAUGAAUAGUCCUGCCUCCAACAGCUACACCGGCUCUCACAGCCUGUGAAGGUUUUUCAUAUGCAAAACUAGGCUAAGAGAUUCACGCUCUUGUCCAGAAAUCAACUCUAUCUUUUGGAUCGAGAUCAACGCCAAGGUUCAUAAAUUUACACCAAGAGACAAGUCUCACCCAGAGUCCAGAGACCAAAGAGAUAUAUGAGAAUUGUCCGAGGUUACUAGGAAGUUGGAGGAGGAAGCAGGUUAUACAAUGUUCGUUCUGCAUUAUGUUGAUCAAGGGGAGAAGGUUCAGAUUCUGCAUGGACAGUGAGAGGCUAGCAAUUGCUUAAACUUGACAACGCAUAUGUUCACCACUCUAGACGAAGAUUAUUAUGCAAUUUUUUAGCUGCAUAUGGUUAUUUGCCUGUGUCCCACCAAGAACAACAAGAAGUCGUCAUUUUAGGAGUGCAAUGACCCCCUUUGUUUUACACCAUAGAAGGGAAAGAGAGAGCUUGAAAGGGAAUUCAGAGUAGAAGAGAAGAUGGAGACCUGAUUAAGAAGAAGAAAGUAAAGGCAUAUCAGUAAUUAAAAGCAUGAAGCAGAGACCUAGACACCAAGCUAGGGAUAGAGUCGUCUAACUAGGCUGUUCAGCAGAGACCUAGUAGGUCUUUUAAGAGUAAAUGUCUCCAAGAUACUCAUCUCUCUUUUCUCCUUGUGAUUAUGUUUGCUUUUAAACCCACACCUACCAAACCCGUGGAUGAAUAUUUCAUAUAUUCCACCUAUAUUCAUCUGCAUUCAAACACAAUCCACAAACCGCAGCUGUUUCCUGUUUACGUCUUUGUAUUUGCAUUGCUUAAGAGAAUGAUGGUUUAUUAGCCUUAUUUUGUGGGAUCCUAAAUGCAGGAGCAAACAUUGGAGGGUGGUUGAUGCAAAACCUAAAGAUGCGGUCUUGUAGAUACGGAGUCAAACUAAGCAUGGACUUUGGCGCAAGCUUCUUGACGGUCAAGAUUUAAAAUCAGGUACGACACUGUGUGUACGUGAGAGAGAGAGAGAGAGAGCGAAAGAAAGAAAGAAAGAAAGAAAGAGAUGUAUCACAAUAAAGGAGUAUAUUUAGGGUCACAGGUGGUGGAGAUAUAGGUAUGCAGGGCCGAGGCGCUAAUCUCUCCAUAGCCCUAUUGAUUUUGUCUCUCUCUCUCUCUCUUCUUCCUUCCUCUCUUAGCUGUAUGCAUGAUGAUGCUUCUUUUAAUUCACUGUUUCAUGCUUCUUUAAUUCGUGGUGUCUCUCUCCUUUUUACCCAACCAUCUCUUUAAGUUUUUAACAUCUGUCCCUCAAAUCCUCUCUCAUCUCUUUCUAUAAGUAUCGAUAACGUCUCAACCCUCAAAGCAUUAUCUCUCUCUUUUCUCUUCUCCUUCAUGUAUGCUCCACCACAUAUGUUCUAAUUUUCAACGUUUUCAUGAAGACAAGUCCACAAGGGAACAAGUGAAGCUGCCAGCAUGAUCUAUCUUUGGUUAAUAGAUAAAUGUGGAAACACAUUUUGCUUAAACCCAAGCUAGGUCAUGCUCUGACAGCCUCACUCCUUCCUGGUUUAGGAACAGUCACUGAUAAAACCUUCCACAUGCCUGUUGAAAGAAAAACAAAGUGACAAACAGACGUUUCUCUAUAUGAAACCGCUGUAAGGGUUAUAUCUGUUUUCUCCUGCUUUGUCACCCUCUCCACUUUCUACCCUCUUGUUUUUGCGUUAUUUCUCUACCAUAUAUUUCAUCUAGUUUUAGUGUUUUAAGGCGAAAAUAGACUCUGCAGAGCCAAACGUCUCUUAAGAAAAGAAAACUGUACAAAACCAAAAUGGUCUCUCUCCAUAUUCUCCUAAACAUUACCAAACAAACUCUAUCUCGCACGCUGUAUAUAAUAUAUAACCCUUAUCUCAAUACAAAACUUCCUGCCUACUACUUAUUUAGCUUUAAGAAGUACAAACGGUGUAAUAUAGUCUUUGACUGUACAUCAAAUAAACCAAAGCUAGUGUUAUUACCCACCCUUCCUUCGACUAUACUGCAGAUAAGCCAAAGUAGUCUUACUACCCAACAAAGGGUACGCCAAAACUCAAACUCACACAAUUGUUUUUCCUUCGUUUUCCUAAGCCAUCCAGAUAUCUUCUUAAACCAACCUAGCAAUCUUGUUUUAUGUCUCUAUAACAGUGAACUGGUAAGCCACCUUGUUGCAGCAGUUUGAAAAGGGAGGCAUCAGAGGUUUUGGGAUCAAUCCUUGUGGGAACCAUCUCCUUAACGAGAGAGAGCAUAGCCCUCACAGAGUAGAUGGUAGCGUAGGCAAAACGCCAACGCCUCUGGGCCUUGUUGAGGCUGGGGGUGGCAAGGUUGAGCAGCAGAGAACUGCAAUCAUAUUUUUGGAGGUCUCUCAUAUGCUUUGUGUGUAAAGAGAGAUAGAGUUUUAAGGGGAAUAAAAGAGUCUCGUCUAUAUUUGGUGUGACUUGUAAGACACUCAAGACUCGAAAGAAAUGAUCUCUCUCCAAAAACCUGAGCUUCGUGCUCUGCUAUAUAAAUCCGUAUUGGCCGCCUUUGCAUUUUUUUUUUUGUGCUUCCAAAUAAAAUCGUUAAAGCUAUUGUUAUACAAUUUUAUCUUGUCGUAGAUUAUUUUGUUCAGGAGGUGUAACCACUCAAAACACGUGUAAACACAAGGCAUGUGGAUCAAAGGACAUGGGCUGCACAUCCUUUCGUACUUGUAUGUUGACUUAUCUAUUGGCUCUUGCUAGGGUUUCAAACCAUUGUGCCCCAAAAAAAAGAGAGUUAAGUAAUGAUGUUAAAGCAGCCAUACGAUGGAAUAAUCUAGUCUGGUGUAGACAAGCCGUCAUUGUAGAAUGAUGAACAACAAUAACGUGCGUGUACCAACUUAAUAUAAGAAAUGGCAAUAAUAGCAAAACGAAAGGAAAAAAAGGACUAGAGCCUUUGAAUCUUCCACAUCCACACCAGCUUUUUUGCUAUAUCUAUUAAGUGAAUUUAUACUACUCAGUCAAAUUGGCAUUUGCAUGAUGAAUGAAACAAAACCGAGUUUGUCACUUCUCCUUCUAGUUGUCUACAAAGAAAAGAAGUUGAAUAUACAUAUAUUAUAACAGAGUAGCGUGUGAGAAUCGUUGUGUAGGACAAAAGUUUUCAUCCCCGAAACUUCGUUGCAGUUUCCAUUUUCGUUGUCAAGGAAUGGGAGCCUCAUCUCUUUGUACUUUCAUGUGACGACAGCAAGACGUAAAGCAGUAGUUGACUCUGCGCUGUAAAGACACAAAAUAAGUUGACCUCCACUAAAACUAGACGUGACCACCAAAGAAAGAGCUCUGCAGAUUCAAGAGGGAUAUAUAUUUACAAAGGCUCUUUUGCAAAGCAAGCACUAUAAGAAACUCCUCAUAAUAUCAAAGUUUGCAGACGAAACAUAACGUAUAGAGAGAGAGAGGGCAACACACAUACACAGAGGCUUUGAUAGCAUACAUUUAAAACUGAUCACGCAGUGAUGCGGACAAGAAAUAAGAGUCUUUUUUUUUUUUCUUUUUUUGACAAGCAGCACCAAAUUAACUUAAUGCGUUUUGCUCUUAAUUCAAACUAGAAGAAAGAAGGAGUCUGAGGAACUAACUAUGAUGGCCUUAUUCUAGAUACAUUGAGAGAUUUCGUAGUGGUGGGAAAGAGGCUUUCAAGUAGGUGUGUCUUUCUUAUAAUAUAUGAGUCAGUCUGUAAUCAUCUUUUGUAAAUGCUGUACAAAAAGAGAGAGAGAAAUGCAAAGAGAAGAGCUUUGUUAGUUCUGAAUCAUUCUGCUAAAAAUCUCAAACAGAUAGAGGGAGACAUGAUAAAGUAAGUAAUUUCCAACGUUACGAUUAAAAACUUGAGCUCACAACAGUUUGACCAGAAAUAAGAACAUCAUCAUCCUCACAUACAC
RNAcentral lists this long non-coding RNA (7258 nucleotides) under Capsella rubella. RNAcentral describes it as "long non-coding RNA (CRUB_LNC002916)". The stretch from base 4796 to 4913 matches the Rfam family "MIR167 microRNA precursor family". The record is from RNAcentral. Lineage: Eukaryota; Viridiplantae; Streptophyta; Magnoliopsida; Brassicales; Brassicaceae.